RNAcentral lists this ribosomal RNA (504 nucleotides) under uncultured bacterium. Its description in RNAcentral is "partial 16S ribosomal RNA". It matches the Rfam family "Bacterial small subunit ribosomal RNA", at positions 30 to 523 of the family's 1533-position model. The record is from RNAcentral.
AUUGAACGCUGGCGGCAGGCCUAACACAUGCAAGUCGAACGGUAGCACAGAGAGCUUGCUCUCGGGUGACGAGUGGCGGACGGGUGAGUAACGUCUGGGAAACUGCCCGAUGGAGGGGGAUAACUACUGGAAACGGUAGCUAAUACCGCAUAACGUCGCAAGACCAAAGUGGGGGACCUUCGGGCCUCACACCAUCGGAUGUGCCCAGGUGGGAUUAGCUAGUAGGUGGGGUAAUGGCUCACCUAGGCGACGAUCCCUAGCUGGUCUGAGAGGAUGACCAGCCAGACUGGAACUGAGACACGGUCCAGAAUCCUACGGGAGGCAGCAGUGGGGAAUAUUGCACAAUGGGCGCAAGCCUGAUGCAGCCAUGCCGCAUGUAUGAAGAAGGCCUUCGGGUUGUAAAGUACUUUCAGCGGGGAGGAAGGCGGUGAAGUUAAUAACUUCACCGAUUGACGUUACCCGCAGAAGAAGCACCGGCUAACUCCGUGCCAGCCGCCGCCGUAA